Molecule: ribosomal RNA, 565 nt
Filed under: Salmonella enterica
Lineage: Bacteria; Pseudomonadati; Pseudomonadota; Gammaproteobacteria; Enterobacterales; Enterobacteriaceae
Description: partial 23S ribosomal RNA
Rfam family: Bacterial large subunit ribosomal RNA
Source: RNAcentral
CGGGCGUUAAGUUGCAGGGUAUAGACCCGAAACCCGGUGAUCUAGCCAUGGGCAGGUUGAAGGUUGGGUAACACUAACUGGAGGACCGAACCGACUAAUGUUGAAAAAUUAGCGGAUGACCUGUGGCUGGGGGUGAAAGGCCAAUCAAACCGGGAGAUAGCUGGUUCUCCCCGAAAGCUAUUUAGGUAGCGCCUCGUGAAUUCAUCUCCGGGGGUAGAGCACUGUUUCGGCUAGGGGGCCAUCCCGGCUUACCAACCCGAUGCAAACUGCGAAUACCGGAGAAUGUUAUCACGGGAGACACACGGCGGGUGCUAACGUCCGUCGUGAAGAGGGAAACAACCCAGACCGCCAGCUAAGGUCCCAAAGUCAUGGUUAAGUGGGAAACGAUGUGGGAAGGCCCAGACAGCCAGGAUGUUGGCUUAGAAGCAGCCAUCAUUUAAAGAAAGCGUAAUAGCUCACUGGUCGAGUCGGCCUGCGCGGAAGAUGUAACGGGGCUAAACCAUGCACCGAAGCUGCGGCAGCGACGCUGAUGCGUUGUUGGGUAGGGGAGCGUUCUGUAAGCCUG